Long non-coding RNA from Panicum virgatum (switchgrass), 2059 nucleotides. RefSeq lists it as uncharacterized. Lineage: Eukaryota; Viridiplantae; Streptophyta; Magnoliopsida; Poales; Poaceae. The transcript has 4 exons. The record is from RefSeq and is a predicted model, not a curated record.
GGAUGUGCGCUGAGCGCCCGCCGCCUUGCGUAGUUAUUAUCGGGUCCGCAACGUGUGAGCAACCCGUUUGGACUGUGGAGCUGUGGGGGAUUCAACUGUCUAUUCCAUUUCCACCCUAAUCUUUGUUGUCACCCUCAGUCGAGGGGAAUGCGAACGAAUUGACGAGUGUCCUCGUUGGAAUCGGCGGCGGAGGCGGGAGAAUCUGCUAGCUCGUGGACGGCGGAACACCUUGUGGCACCAGGCCGAGGACGCCGGGAAGAAAGCGAGCCUGACUGGAGCUGCUACCGGCGGCUAGCUUGCCGCCCCUGCAAAUCCAAAGCAGGGACGCCUUGUCCUCUCCGCCAGUUCGUCUAAGAUCACCUGAUGAGGUGAGGCAGUGGGAGGGGAACCUUGUUCCUGGACUUACGUUGGCCAUGGUGGAUGGAUUAGGCGUACGUGGGAUCAUGGGUUCAUUUUAUCAAGAUGUCAUAUGUGCUCCGGAGUUGAUAUGUUGAGCCACCUCUCCACAUUCAGCAACCCCAUGGCCGCUUCCUCCUCCUUUAAAGAGUUUUCCUUUCCCAUGGAGGACUCUAUCUCAAGGGUGAUGGUCCUGCCAGUGAGGGUCUUUUAAUGAAGAUUGCAUGGUGCAUUUAGCAGGUUCUAUGGUAAACUUGCAUGGUCGUUGUAUUAAAUUUAUAGGCAAAGUUUGUGUAAUUUCCAUAUUACUCCUACGUAAUUUUAUAGCAUAGUAGAUUAUAUGUCUCUGAAUUAUUUGUUCCAGUAAAGUUAUAUAGUAGUACUAUUAGCUUGUAUUGUUUAUGAAGACCAAGUAGUUAAAUAUAAUUUCCAUAUUAUUGUGUUUAGGCUUGUCAUGCUUUCAUCUCAUCAUAUCUGUGUUUGUUUUUAUCUGACAUGUCCUUUGUGCUUCCAGAUCUAUUGACCAUUGGUUUUCAAUCUCAAUUCUUUUCUUCUUAGCCUGCUUGAAAGAUCACUCAUGUAAAUAUAUACAUACUAUUAGGACCAAUUGAAAACUUAACGAUAAUGUAUAUAAAUCACACAUCUAGGACUUACGUAAUUUCAGGUAAUUUUUUUUAAAACAUAGCUAACAAGUGUCGAGCUUUAUGUCUGCUGUUUAAUUUAGCUUGGCUAUAUUUUUUCAGCAUCUCUUAUUUUUUUAUAGAUAGGCUCAUUUUUCUUUCUUUUUAAUACAUAUAUCAUGUGUCUUUAUUGGACAAUUCACUAGAAGUUCAGUGGUUGCCACUUGAAAACCUCACUUGUAGUUGUAGCGUCUAUGAAAGUAAAACUACUUGCAAAUUCUGUAAUUUAAUUCUUUUUAUUGUUUUUUGCUAGCAAAUUAUAACAAAUAAGAGUGUUUAUACUUGCUUAUUCUGUUAGGUUCUACCAUUAUCCACAUGUGUUUGACUCUGUCAAUUGUUAUAUAACUUCUGGAAUUGGAUGCAUGAUGCAAAAUUUGAAAAAGAAUCCGUGAGCUAUCUUUGAAGUAAUAAAGCUCCUAUUAUCUCUUGUUACCGUUGCUCUAUAUACUUUGUCGGUGGUGAUCUUUUAGUACAUCAGGAUCCGAUUCUGAAAAUGAGACAUGAAUUUGUGAAACUCUUUUACUUGUAGGUAUGUUCUUGUCUUGUUCGGCUCUAUCUAGAUCAUGUUCUGCUUACCCGUGUUUUGCAUAUACUAAAAUGGCCUGUCAGCAGGGUUAAAUUUUUCUUAUGUAAUAGUGUCUUCUGUAAUUCUUACCUCCCUUAAGCCUGAAUGCCUUGCAUGAGUCGACCCUAGCUAUGUGAAUGUGGAGAAGGGAUUCUUGAAACUGGACACACUAUGUCGAGUAAUUUUACAUCAUGUAUACUUGGAUAUUCAUUUUGCUUGCUGUCAAUUUCUGUUAUGAAGAAACACAGGUUAGCAGCAGCAGGAGAAGAGGGAACAUAUGAGAUCUAUUAUAUAGAAAGUUACAUGUGUGUAAUUUGAGUUGCAUCACUCUAAGCCCAUAUGUGAUUUGAGUCUUAUUUUAUAGAACUUGCAGCGAUUUGAGCCAUUGUGAUUCUUGUAAUAAAAUUUUACUUGUAAA